Long non-coding RNA from Lotus japonicus, 1672 nucleotides. RefSeq lists it as uncharacterized. The record is from RefSeq and is a predicted model, not a curated record. The transcript is spliced from 8 exons. NCBI's taxonomy places the organism in Eukaryota, Viridiplantae, Streptophyta, Magnoliopsida, Fabales, Fabaceae.
GCGACGGACAUUCUGCGGCGGUUACGCAUAAACCGCCGCAAAAUGUAAACUUGAGGCGUUUUUUCAGGCGGUUAAGCAAGCCGCCGCAGUUUUCGUACAAUUUGCGGCGGGUUUUGUUUCAAUUAGUGGCGGUUUGCUUGACAUUUGUGGCGGUUAUUUCAGGGGCGGUUCAACCAGGCGCCGCAGAAUGAUUAAAUUAGAAAACCUAAAAUUAAAUCCCUCACCUCAUAUCGCGUUUCCAGAUCGCGUUUUUUCACUCUCCUCUACCUCACUUCACGUUGAACCUCUCUCAGCCUCUCUCUCAGAUCGCGAUUCCUUGACUCCUUCUCAGCGAUGGCGAACUCCAUGGCUUGAAGGUUUGUGAUUUGGAUCUGUUUGUUUUGGUUAUGAAUUAGGGCUCGAAUUUCUCUUGUUUUGGUAAAAUCGAGUGGGUUCCUGGGUUUGGUUUCUUCGAUUUCUUCCACUGUGCACGCUCUGCUUCAGAUCCAAACAAGAUCAGUAAUUUUGAGUAUCUUAUGCAACUCAAUACACUGGCUGGGCCUAGUUAUAAUGAUAUAACGCAGUAUCCUGUUUUUCCCUAGAUUCUUUCUGAUUACAGUUCAGAGAGUUUGGAUCUUUCAAAUCCUUCUUCUUAUCGAGAUCUUUCAAAGCCUGUUGGUGCACUGAACCCAGAUCGUCUGAAAAAAUUUCAUGAGAGAUAUGCUAGCUUUGAUGAUCCAGUUAUCCCCAAAUUCCAUUAUGGAUCACACUACUCAAGUGCAGGAACAGAAUUAGGGCUCAAAUUUCUCCAGUUUUGGCAAAAUUGAGUGGUUUCCUGGGUUUGGUUUCUUUGAUUUCUUCAACUGCGCACGCUCUGCUUCGGAUCCAAACAAGGCAAUAAAGGGACUGAGUGCUCUUAGAGGAUUAGUGAAGCUGCAAGCACUGAUGGCUAUUCAAAGUGUGGUUUCAGCAAGAGAAAGCAGAUUAAGCACGAAGGGUCGUCAAGGGGGUGACUAUACUCCAAUCAGGUUUUCAAUAUAGUUUUUCCUAGUUUUUUUGUAUAAAUAAUUUCUGUUAUUAGCUCUACUUUGUUGGAAGCCAUGUUUGAUGGAGUGAGUUUGAAAUGUUAAGUAUGUUGUUUAUUUAUCACCUCACUGCUAAGGAGGGCCUUCAUAGAUAUUGAUUGUCUUUGUGGUCUUUGGAGUUGAAAUCAAAUAGGUGAUGACCAUUCUCUCUGCUCUUGUUGGCUGGACUGCUCCGAAUCUGGUGAGAAUUCUAUGUUGCUGGUUUAGAUUCACAAUUCUCAUAAUUAUUUGUUUAUUCUUAGAUCCUUAAGAGAUCCUGUUCUGUGCUAUAUAUAUUGAGAUAAGAUAUUUUCCUGGUAGAUCUAUUUUUCAAGCAAAUGUUAAUUGUAUUGGGUUGGGGUGAUUUUUGUGUAGAACUGUGAUGUUAGUAUGUUCACCACUUGCCUUCUGCAGUUAUUCUUUAUAGCUUACACCGACUUUAUUUAGAAUUCAAUGUAUGUAUGGUUUCUUGGUGAUAAAGUUAUGGCUCAAACUCGAGUUUGGUUUUGUAGCGUGGUGAUUGUACAGUAUAAGGACGUGUUAUGUGACAUCAAUGAAUGUGUUUUUGGUAGACAGGAAGUUUGUAGGAUCAUGUGGAUGCGAAAGAGAUGAAAAAAAAAAAUUAGCAU